RNAcentral lists this long non-coding RNA (2755 nucleotides) under Anas platyrhynchos platyrhynchos (common mallard). RNAcentral describes it as "lncRNA (ENSAPLG00000026950.1)". The record is from RNAcentral. Lineage: Eukaryota; Metazoa; Chordata; Aves; Anseriformes; Anatidae.
AUGUGCUGUUUGCCAGAGGGGCCCAGGAGAUCCGCAAGGGAGGAAGUUUUCCAGCAGAUCAUCAGGAAAAAAGGGCAAUUCUCUGUGAACAUUGUCGCAGAGCAAAAACAAAGUCCUUCCUCAUCAGGGAAGAAUUCGACAGGCCUCACUGGUAGCCAGUGCCGUGGCACGCGAAAGUUGGCCUGUACCAACCCCAGAGGUCCAUUCACCUCCUGCAAUGGGCUUCAGGCUCUCAUCUUGUCAUGCACAUGGAAGAAACCAACUCUGGCAGGCACGGCCAUCUCAGCAUGAAGGGUUUGCAUCUUUCACGACCUGUCACCAUCACCUACUUCUGCUUUCUGUAGCUUCAGAAGAAUCAGGUUCACCCAGACCCACAGAGGACCAUCGUCAUGUCCCACAGCACAGCACAUCUGAAUCUUUCUUGAAACUGUUUUGUGCCCUUGACUCAUGGGAAAACUGAUUCUUGUCUACUGUAACCUUUCUGUGCCAGCUCCAUUUGCCUCUCAAAUUGUUUCUGAAUAUGAGUUAUCCUUCUGCAAUCAGGGCUAACUGUUUGCUUAAGAUAAUUUAUUGUUACCCUGAACUCACAAAGUACUUAUAUGGAUUUUCAGAUGAAGGUGUAGAGAGUAGCGGUCACACAUCGUCCAAAACUUAGGACCCAAACCGAGUUUUGUUUCAGCUAUCAUCAGCUGCAGAGGUCACAGUUAAGUAAAAUCGGCUUAAACUGGGAUUGGAAAACUGUCUGCUACAUUAGCAGAGAGAUCAGAUGACAGAUUUGGUCUGGCCUCAUUAUCUAGCCAUAAAAAUGUAAGGGCCUGAAGUAUUUGGGGAAUGGGAAUGCAGAGAGCAGGAGGGAUUUCUGGAGGAUCUCCAUGCAGUAUUUGCUGUCUGAGGAAAGGAGCCCGAAGGACCCUUCCCCCUCAGACUGUCUGAUUUGAGCUCUUAUCUCCAAUGACAAACUGAAACCAGGAGAAUCAGUCUCUUCCUUUUGCAAACAGUUGGGGGAACAGGGGCUCCUGUGUGUCUACAACAUCUCACAUUUAUUUUUAGCUUCUUCUAUUUGGUUAGUGAGGUCACUGGAGCCCAGGCUUAAACAUGUUUUAAGCAAAUGUUACCCUGACCUUCCAGAGCUCUGAAUUUCCUGUAGCUAUACAUACCCGAAAGAAACGGAGCUAAUGGUGCAAGGGAAUGUUAUAUUAGCAUUUUAGGCUACAGUUCAAAUUACUAUGCAUCCUCAUUUAUUGCAACACUUUUUGGGGAUAUGAAAAGUGUAAAAUACAUUUCAAGAGGUUUUGAUCCAAAAUACAUUUGGUGACGCUGUUUCCUGGCUGAAGUAGCCUCUGUGCUUUUUCCAGUAAUUCUGCAUUUAGGAUUUUAUUUACACAGUUCAGGGAUUAAAUCACAAUUUCCACUCCUUAGUGUAAAAACAAACAAACAAAAAAAAAAAAACAACCCAACAAGCCUCCUUCCUGCCAGAGCUGGAACCAUUACCCAAAUCACUGCAAGGAAACAAAUAUCAGGGUACCCAGAGCCACCAGCUCCCAUCCAGCCCCAUGCAAACUAGAAAAAGGGGCUUUGGGAGAAAACCUUCUCAUGGAGCUGCAGAGAGAUUAGCAAACAAAUGCUUUUUUGUAAUGAGAGCUUGUUCUGCGAAUGCAAUAAGCUCCUGAUGGAGUCUGCCAGCCCAGUGCUGGAAGCAGGCCAGCACAGAGGUGCAGGGAGCAGGCAACGUUCAUCGCUGUUCCAGAUGUGAGACGAGGCUGAGGAGGCUGUGGGAAGCUUGGCGGGUGUUAGGCAAGCCAGCACGGUCCUGGAUAUUGCGGGAGGAAUGCUUGUCCUAACAGGCUUUUGGGCUGCUCAGCUGGGAAUCACAAGGGUCCUGGUGGAAACCCAGCUUCUGGUCAGGCUGGAGACCCUGCCCAAAGAAAGAUGUCCCCAAAGGAGAAAAAAACAAAACAACAACAACAACAACAAAACCUUCAGAAGUCUGAAUUUAUCCUUAUUUUUAGUCUUCAAGAUGAGUCAUUCAGGAAAAAGUCCUGUUCUGAACGCUGAUAUAGCCUUCUCUUCCCUAGGGAUAUAUUCAUGUAGCUGCAGGUGACCAAAUUAGGGAAGCUCAGCAAAAGUUACUGCUAACGAAGUAAGUGAUGGUGACUGCUCAUGUGCAGACUUUUAGCCUCCUGUGAAUGCAAAGCAAAAUAUCCCUGCAGGGUGACUGGAACUAAUAUGCUUUACUUUACAUUUGCAAUUGGCUCGGAGAUGCACAUGGCUCCUCGCCGAGGCUCAAGUGAUAAUGAAUUGAGCUCCUGUAACUCAAUUGCUUGCAAGCACUUGCUGUGUCACUGGUGGAAAAACAGUGUAGAAAAAUCACAGCCCUCGCUUAUACAUACCAGAAAAUGUUACAGACUUGGUUCAGCUCUCCUGGCCAGUCAGCAUGUCUGAAGUUCACACAUCGAGACCAAAUCCCUGUUUUUCUAUUAACAGAAUACUGAAUAUUUUCUGCAAGCAGUGUAGGUGAACUAGGGAAGCCCCAGUUGCUGCAGUAGCAGCCUAUAUGAAUUCUAGAAAUUUAUAUAUUAAUAGAUUUGCUAGAGAAUCUAGACAAGUAUUUGUGAGCUCAAAAAAAAAAAAAAAAAAAAAAAAAAAAUCAGAAAAUCCCCUGAUAAUUCAUCUGCGGAGGGUAAUUUCCUAGGUCUAAUCAGAGCAAACAUCUCUAUGGCUGGAAUGUUGAAAUAAAUUAAAUACAAAGCCUUCA